This 1121-nucleotide ribosomal RNA is filed under the name Rhodotorula mucilaginosa. RNAcentral's name for it is "eukaryotic LSU rRNA". The stretch from base 529 to 1121 matches the Rfam family "Eukaryotic large subunit ribosomal RNA", at positions 1 to 590 of the family's 3401-position model. Lineage: Eukaryota; Fungi; Basidiomycota; Microbotryomycetes; Sporidiobolales; Sporidiobolaceae. The record is from RNAcentral.
UGAAUAUAGGACGUCCAACUUAACUUGGAGUCCGAACUCUCACUUUCUAACCCUGUGCACUUGUUUGGGAUAGUAACUCUCGCAAGAGAGCGAACUCCUAUUCACUUAUAAACACAAAGUCUAUGAAUGUAUUAAAUUUUAUAACAAAAUAAAACUUUCAACAACGGAUCUCUUGGCUCUCGCAUCGAUGAAGAACGCAGCGAAAUGCGAUAAGUAAUGUGAAUUGCAGAAUUCAGUGAAUCAUCGAAUCUUUGAACGCACCUUGCGCUCCAUGGUAUUCCGUGGAGCAUGCCUGUUUGAGUGUCAUGAAUACUUCAACCCUCCUCUUUCUUAAUGAUUGAAGAGGUGUUUGGUUUCUGAGCGCUGCUGGCCUUUACGGUCUAGCUCGUUCGUAAUGCAUUAGCAUCCGCAAUCGAACUUCGGAUUGACUUGGCGUAAUAGACUAUUCGCUGAGGAAUUCUAGUCUUCGGAUUAGAGCCGGGUUGGGUUAAAGGAAGCUUCUAAUCAGAAUGUCUACAUUUUAAGAUUAGAUCUCAAAUCAGGUAGGACUACCCGCUGAACUUAAGCAUAUCAAUAAGCGGAGGAAAAGAAACUAACAAGGAUUCCCCUAGUAGCGGCGAGCGAAGCGGGAAGAGCUCAAAUUUAUAAUCUGGCACCUUCGGUGUCCGAGUUGUAAUCUCUAGAAAUGUUUUCCGCGUUGGACCGCACACAAGUCUGUUGGAAUACAGCGGCAUAGUGGUGAGACCCCCGUAUAUGGUGCGGACGCCCAGCGCUUUGUGAUACAUUUUCGAAGAGUCGAGUUGUUUGGGAAUGCAGCUCAAAUUGGGUGGUAAAUUCCAUCUAAAGCUAAAUAUUGGCGAGAGACCGAUAGCGAACAAGUACCGUGAGGGAAAGAUGAAAAGCACUUUGGAAAGAGAGUUAACAGUACGUGAAAUUGUUGGAAGGGAAACGCUUGAAGUCAGACUUGCUUGCCGAGCAAUCGGUUUGCAGGCCAGCAUCAGUUUUCCGGGAUGGAUAAUGGUAGAGAGAAGGUAGCAGUUUCGGCUGUGUUAUAGCUCUCUGCUGGAUACAUCUUGGGGGACUGAGGAACGCAGUGUGCCUUUGGCGGGGGUUUCGACCUC